CCAAUAGCGUAUAUUAAAGUUGUUGCAGUUAAAAAGCUCGUAGUUGAAUUUCGGGAUCAAUAUAUCGGUCGUGCCUUGGUACGUACUGGUAUCAUUGGUUUCUCCUUUCUGACGAACCAUGAUGUCAUUAAUUUGGUGUUAUGGGAAGUUAGGACUGUUACUUUGAAAAAAUUAGAGUGUUUAAAGCAGGCUUUGGCUUGAAUACAUUAGCAUGGAAUAAUGAAAUAGGACGUUUGAACCUAUUUUGUUGGUUUCUAGGAUCAACGUAAUGAUUAAUAGGGAUAGUUGGGGGCAUUAGUAUUCAAUUGUCAGAGGUGAAAUUCUUGGAUUUAUUGAAGACUAACUACUGCGAAAGCAUUUGCCAAGGAUGUUUUCAUUAAUCAAGAACGAAAGUUAGGGGAUCGAAGACGAUCAGAUACCGUCGUAGUCUUAACCAUAAACUAUGCCGACUAGGGAUCGGAUGAUGUUGAUUUUUUAAUGACUCAUUCGGCGCCUUACG
RNAcentral lists this ribosomal RNA (499 nucleotides) under uncultured Glomeromycotina. RNAcentral describes it as "partial small subunit ribosomal RNA". It matches the Rfam family "Eukaryotic small subunit ribosomal RNA", at positions 591 to 1092 of the family's 1831-position model. Lineage: Eukaryota; Fungi; Glomeromycota. The record is from RNAcentral.